GAAAAUUUGAAAAGUCUCCUGGCUUUUGUACACAAUGGUGGGUCACAUCACAGCACAACAGCUUGAUGUGGGAGCAUUAACUGAUGGAGGCCUCAGAUGUUCUCCACUUUGGUGAAACCCACAAGCUCAGGGAAAAUAUGACUGUCAGGACAGGAAGA
Long non-coding RNA from Haliotis rubra (blacklip abalone), 158 nucleotides. RefSeq lists it as uncharacterized. The record is from RefSeq and is a predicted model, not a curated record. The transcript is spliced from 3 exons. Lineage: Eukaryota; Metazoa; Mollusca; Gastropoda; Lepetellida; Haliotidae.